RNAcentral lists this ribosomal RNA (433 nucleotides) under uncultured bacterium. Its description in RNAcentral is "partial 16S ribosomal RNA". It matches the Rfam family "Bacterial small subunit ribosomal RNA", at positions 29 to 507 of the family's 1533-position model. The record is from RNAcentral.
AACGAACGCUGGCGGCAUGCCUAACACAUGCAAGUCGAACGAGACCUUCGGUUCUAGUGGCGCACGGGUGCGUAACGCGUGGGAACCUGCCCUUAGGUUCGGAAUAACUCCCCGAAAGGGGUGCUAAUACCGGAUAAUGUCUUCGGACCAAAGAUUUAUCGCCUUUGGAUGGGCCCGCGUUGGAUUAGCUAGUUGGUAGGGUAAAAGCCUACCAAGGCGACGAUCCAUAGCUGGUCUGAGAGGAUGAUCAGCCACACUGGGACUGAGACACGGCCCAGACUCCUACGGGAGGCAGCAGUGGGGAAUAUUGGACAAUGGGCGAAAGCCUGAUCCAGCAAUGCCGCGUGAGUGAUGAAGGCCUUAGGGUUGUAAAGCUCUUUUAACCGGGAUGAUAAUGACAGUACCGGGAGAAUAAGCUCCGGCUAACUCCGUG